This 450-nucleotide ribosomal RNA is filed under the name uncultured bacterium. RNAcentral describes it as "partial 16S ribosomal RNA". It matches the Rfam family "Bacterial small subunit ribosomal RNA", at positions 338 to 795 of the family's 1533-position model. The record is from RNAcentral.
CCUACGGGGGGCUGCAGUGGGGAAUUUUGCGCAAUGGGCGAAAGCCUGAUCCAGCAAUGCCGCGUGUGUGAAGAAGGCCUUCGGGUUGUAAAGCACUUUUGUCCGGAAAGAAAUCCGUCUGGCUAAUACCCGGACGGGAUGACGGUACCGGAAGAAUAAGCACCGGCUAACUACGUGCCAGCAGCCGCGGUAAUACGUAGGGUGCGAGCGGUAAUCGGAAUUAGUGGGCGUAAAUUGGGCGCAGGCGUGUGAAAUCCCCGGGCUCAACCUGGGAACUGCAUUUGUGACUGCAAGGCUAGAGUGCGUCAGAGGGAGGUGGAAUUCCGCGUGUAGCAGUGAAAUGCGUAGAGAUGCGGAGGAACACCGAUGGCGAAGGCAGCCUCCUGGGAUGACACUGACGCUCAUGCACGAAAGCGUGGGGAGCAAACAGGAUUAGAUACCCCAGUAGUC